CUCCUCUUCCUCCUCCUCCUCCUCCUCAACUCUCCGCGGCCGCCGCUGAAAAUGUCCACAGAGGAUCGAGUUACACUACGCCCCAUCUUUAAGCCCCGGUCCGCGGGGCAGUGCGCCGUUAGCCAGCAGCACAACCAGAGGACAGGGCCGCGGGACGCACCGGGCUUCGCACUCAUGCCUUGAAAAAGGGAAGCGCUCCAAAUUGUUGUUAAUGGGGAGAAACCACAUUCCACUGCAGUUCUAACAAUGAUAGAAACAAUGGAGAUGUAUGGGUCUGACUGUCAAACGCGGAGCCAAAUGAGCGCCGCCGUCUCCUUUCGUUUCAGUGGUCACUCUCACAGCCGGCCUUAUGACCACGUGCUUACUGUGGAAGUGAGACUUAGUCACAGUUGAUGGAAGUUAGAGUAUUUGCGCGGCGUGUACAGUUACAAGAGGGCUUUAUAAAACGUGCUUUUGAUUUGGGCGGACCACGAUGUAGAGAGAAGGCAUUGAUGCAAUACGAUAAUUAGCAGCUUUAAAUGGAAUUGGGUUGUGAUUCAAUUAUUAUUAUCAUGAGCACAUGUUCACCCAAAUUUCUCAAAGUCUGAUAAAGCUCACUCUAAAUUAAACUAUUUCCGUAAUCCAAUUUCUGCAUGUGCUUGCAUAUAAGUCAGUGUAUAGCUGUAAAUAUCAUACAUCUUCUCUUUAAUUUCAUUUGUAACUGUCUUGUUAAUUCAAAAUGUUUAUUACAUGAGAACAUUUAUGGUGUUUUUCUUGUGUCGAGCAUUAAAAAACAUGCUAUAACGUUACAGACACCGUCAUCAAGAUAUGAAAUGUCCCAACGUUGCUGAUUGAUUGAUGCACAGAAGUCAUGAUAUUACUAUUUGAAAUUGAAUGCUACUGGCUUACGUGAG
Molecule: long non-coding RNA, 893 nt
Organism: Gasterosteus aculeatus aculeatus (three-spined stickleback)
Lineage: Eukaryota; Metazoa; Chordata; Actinopteri; Perciformes; Gasterosteidae
Source: Ensembl